AGUUCACACGGCAGCAUC
This 18-nucleotide microRNA is filed under the name Singapore grouper iridovirus. RNAcentral's name for it is "miRNA-homoHSV". The record is from RNAcentral. Lineage: Varidnaviria; Bamfordvirae; Nucleocytoviricota; Megaviricetes; Pimascovirales; Iridoviridae.